This 72-nucleotide transfer RNA is filed under the name Camelus bactrianus (Bactrian camel). It matches the Rfam family "tRNA". Rfam says of the family: Transfer RNA (tRNA) molecules are approximately 80 nucleotides in length. Their secondary structure includes four short double-helical elements and three loops (D, anti-codon, and T loops). Further hydrogen bonds mediate the characteristic L-shaped molecular structure. tRNAs have two regions of fundamental functional importance: the anti-codon, which is responsible for specific mRNA codon recognition, and the 3' end, to which the tRNAs corresponding amino acid is attached (by aminoacyl-tRNA synthetases). tRNAs cope with the degeneracy of the genetic code in two manners: having more than one tRNA (with a specific anti-codon) for a particular amino acid; and 'wobble' base-pairing, i.e. permitting non-standard base-pairing at the 3rd anti-codon position. Lineage: Eukaryota; Metazoa; Chordata; Mammalia; Artiodactyla; Camelidae. The record is from Rfam by way of RNAcentral. RNAcentral also lists the same sequence under 2 other names.
GGGGAUAUAGUUCAGUGGUACAGCAUGUGCUUGGCGUGCACAAGGUUCUGGGUUCAAUCCCCUGUGCCUCCA